UACGUAGGGGGCAAGCGUUGUCCGGAAUUAUUGGGCGUAAAGGGCGCGUAGGCGGCCAUUUAAGUCUGAUGUGAAAGUGCGGGGCUUAACCCCGUAAAGCAUUGGAAACUGGAUGGCUUGAGGACAGGAGAGGAAAGUGGAAUUCCACGUGUAGCGGUGAAAUGCGUAGAUAUGUGGAGGAACACCAGUGGCGAAGGCGACUUUCUGGACUGUAACUGACGCUGAGGCGCGAAAGCGUGGGGAUCAAACAGG
This 252-nucleotide ribosomal RNA is filed under the name uncultured Dehalobacter sp. RNAcentral describes it as "partial 16S ribosomal RNA". It matches the Rfam family "Bacterial small subunit ribosomal RNA", at positions 524 to 776 of the family's 1533-position model. Lineage: Bacteria; Bacillati; Bacillota; Clostridia; Eubacteriales; Desulfitobacteriaceae. The record is from RNAcentral.